GACGAACGCUGGCGGCGUGCCUAAUACAUGCAAGUCGAACGCACUCUCGUUUAGAUUGAAGGAGCUUGCUCCUGAUUGAUAAACAUUUGAGUGAGUGGCGGACGGGUGAGUAACACGUGGGUAACCUGCCCUAAAGUGGGGGAUAACAUUUGGAAACAGAUGCUAAUACCGCAUGAAACCUAACACCGCAUGGUGUAGGGUUGAAAGAUGGUUUCGGCUAUCACUUUAGGAUGGACCCGCGGUGCAUUAGUUAGUGGUGAGGUAAAGGCUCACCAAGACCGUGAUGCAUAGCCGACCUGAGAGGGUAAUCGGCCACACUGGGACUGAGACACGGCCCAGACUCCUACGGGAGGCAGCAGUAGGGAAUCUUCCACAAUGGACGAAAGUCUGAUGGAGCAACGCCGCGUGAGUGAAGAAGUUUUCGGAUCGUAAAACUCUGUUGUUGGAGAAGAAUGUAUCUGAUAGUAACUGAUCAGGUAGUGACGGUAU
RNAcentral lists this ribosomal RNA (489 nucleotides) under uncultured bacterium. Its description in RNAcentral is "bacterial SSU rRNA". It matches the Rfam family "Bacterial small subunit ribosomal RNA", at positions 28 to 478 of the family's 1533-position model. The record is from RNAcentral.